RNAcentral lists this ribosomal RNA (459 nucleotides) under uncultured bacterium. RNAcentral's name for it is "partial 16S ribosomal RNA". It matches the Rfam family "Bacterial small subunit ribosomal RNA", at positions 338 to 795 of the family's 1533-position model. The record is from RNAcentral.
CCUACGGGAGGCAGCAGUGAGGAAUAUUGGUCAAUGGUCGGGAGACUGAACCAGCCAAGCCGCGUGAGGGAGGAAGGUACAGAGUAUCGUAAACCUCUUUUGUCAGGGAACAAAGGCGGGGACGUGUCCCCGGAUGAGUGUACCUGAAGAAAAAGCAUCGGCUAACUCCGUGCCAGCAGCCGCGGUAAUACUGAGGAUGCGAGCGUUCUCCGGAUUUAUUGGGUUUAAGGGGUGCGCAGGCGGUCUGUUAAGUCAGCGUGAAAAGCCCGUGGCUCAACCCCGGCCCGCCGUUGAAACUGGCAGUAUCGAGUUGGAGAGAAGUAUGCGGAAUGCGCGGUGUAGCGGUGAAAUGCAUAGAUAUCGCGCAGAACUCCGAUUGCGAAGGCAGCAUGCCGGCUCCACACUGACGCUGAGGCACGAAAGCGUGGGUAUCGAACAGGAUUAGAUACCCGAGUAGUC